AGCAUUCUCUGGUGUUGAAGGCCCUGCAAAGCAGCAUCGCGGUGGCGGAGCGUCGUUUGCGACGCCCAACACACAAAACAAGCGGUGAGUGCUUUGGGGUGGGGUGACUGCGUACCUUUUGUAUAAUGGGUCAGCGACUUAUAUUCUGUAGCAAGGUUAACCGAAUAGGGGAGCCGGAGGGAAACCGAGUCUUAAUUGGGCGUUAAGUUGCAGGGUAUAGACCCGAAACCCGGUGAUCUAGCCAUGGGCAGGUUGAAGGUUGGGUAACACUAACUGGAGGACCGAACCGACUAAUGUUGAAAAAUUAGCGGAUGACCUGUGGCUGGGGGUGAAAGGCCAAUCAAACCGGGAGAUAGCUGGUUCUCCCCGAAAGCUAUUUAGGUAGCGCCUCGUGAAUUCAUCUCCGGGGGUAGAGCACUGUUUCGGCUAGGGGGCCAUCCCGGCUUACCAACCCGAUGCAAACUGCGAAUACCGGAGAAUGUUAUCACGGGAGACACACGGCGGGUGCUAACGUCCGUCGUGAAGAGGGAAACAACCCAGACCGCCAGCUAAGGUCCCAAAGUCAUGGUUAAGUGGGAAACGAUGUGGGAAGGCCCAGACAGCCAGGAUGUUGGCUUAGAAGCAGCCAUCAUUUAAAGAAAGCGUAAUAGCUCACUGGUCGAGUCGGCCUGCGCGGAAGAUGUAACGGGGCUAAACCAU
RNAcentral lists this ribosomal RNA (699 nucleotides) under Salmonella enterica subsp. enterica serovar Infantis. RNAcentral describes it as "partial 23S ribosomal RNA". The stretch from base 78 to 699 matches the Rfam family "Bacterial large subunit ribosomal RNA", at positions 566 to 1190 of the family's 2925-position model. RNAcentral also lists the same sequence under 4 other names. Lineage: Bacteria; Pseudomonadati; Pseudomonadota; Gammaproteobacteria; Enterobacterales; Enterobacteriaceae. The record is from RNAcentral.